This 1186-nucleotide long non-coding RNA is filed under the name Pan troglodytes (chimpanzee). RNAcentral describes it as "long non-coding RNA NONPTRT001006". The record is from RNAcentral. Lineage: Eukaryota; Metazoa; Chordata; Mammalia; Primates; Hominidae.
GGCGGAAGGUGAGGCUUGAUGGCAGAGAGGCAUGCAUAGUCACGGGAUGGGGAGAUGGCGAGGACCUGGGAGGCAGAGUGUGGCAACGAGAAAGCAGAAGGCUAUGACCUUAGAUGUCCUUGGCCUUCCUGCUAGUAUCUCCAGCCUGAGCAGCAUCAUCUAGAGCCUACUCUGCUCACCGUCCAUUCCCUGUGGACCUAGGACAUCACUGACCUUUCACAUUGACCUUGAAGCGCCGGCUGUCUUGGCCGCCAGAUGUGGACACACGGCACUCCCAGAACCCACUGUCCGCAAGAACCAAGCGGGGCACCUCGAACUCAGCUGUGGUCUUCUCUGGCUCCACAAUGGCCUUGGUGGACUAAAAGAGAUGGGGGAAGGGGACAGGUCACAGGGAAUGAGCACCUCUGUGGCAGGCACCCAGAUGUCCGUCUGGACUGAUGGCAGGACAGAGGCCCAGUGGCAGUCCCCUCACCAAUCAGCCUGACCUCAUGUGAGCAAUGGUCAGGCCAAUAGGUGGGCCCUGCAGAAAGUUCUGAGGGACUAGGGGGUCUUAGGGAUCAGCUGUGAAGCAGGCGGCCUGCGGGGCUGGUGGGUUGGGGUGAUUGGGGGCUGACCAGGAGCACAGUGCCGUCUGGCUUGCGUAGCUCUAUGCUGCCCCGCACGGGGAAGGGGUUCCCUGCAGCUGCACAGUUGAUCCGGGGCAUCGUCUCUAAGUUGAACUCCAGUUCUGAGGCCAUGUUGAGGAUCUGGGGGAUCCGGUCUGGGGAGAAAGGACACUCAUCCUGGAGCUCCCACAGGGGCAAACACGUGACCACCAAAGCGCCCCUCAUCCGUGUUCUGUUUCUCAUUGGAGGUAUCUACCCAGUCCCUCCAGCCUGAAAACCAGCAAAGGCCCGCAUGACUCCUCCAGCGUCCCAGCCCCACAUCCCAUCAGCUGCAAAGUCUACUUCCUAACCACCUCCCCACUUCCCGAUACCGUCUAAUACCUGCCAGCAGGCCCCUCACCAUCCUCCCAGCCAGCACACUAGCUCAGGCCUCAUCAUUUCUGGUCCCUAGGUAGAGAGUCCUUGAGGGUCUCCUGCUCCCGCUCCCCGGCCAGCAGCUAGGGGUCCUUUCUCCAACACAGAUCUGACUACCUUGUUCCUUUUUAACAAUUCCCUCUUGCCCCAUCAUAUGAAGUGCAAAC